RNAcentral lists this ribosomal RNA (501 nucleotides) under uncultured bacterium. Its description in RNAcentral is "bacterial SSU rRNA". It matches the Rfam family "Bacterial small subunit ribosomal RNA", at positions 28 to 536 of the family's 1533-position model. The record is from RNAcentral.
GACGAACGCUGGCGGCGUGCCUAACACAUGCAAGUCGAGCGGGGUUGAAGCGAGGGGUAACUCGGACUUCUACCUAGCGGCGGACGGGUGAGUAACGCGUGGGCAACCUGCCUCAAGGUUUGGGAUAACAGCUCGAAAGGGCUGCUAAUACCGGAUAUGCCUGUGGCCUCGCAUGGGGCUAUGAGCAAAGGGGAAACCCGCCUUGAGAUGGGCCCGCGUCCCAUCAGCUAGUUGGUGAGGUGAAGGCUCACCAAGGCGACGACGGGUAGCCGGCCUGAGAGGGUGACCGGCCACACUGGGACUGAGACACGGCCCAGACUCCUACGGGGGCAGCAGUGGGGGAUCUUGCACAAUGGGCGAAAGCCUGAUGCAGCGACGCCGCGUGAGCGAAGAAGGCCUUCGGGUUGUAAAGCUCUGUCUGGAGGGACGAAGAAAAUGAACGUACCUACCGGAGAAGCACGCUAACUACGUGCCAGCAGCCGCGGUAAUAUCACGUGUACU